Molecule: ribosomal RNA, 1308 nt
Filed under: metagenome
Description: bacterial LSU rRNA
Rfam family: Bacterial large subunit ribosomal RNA
Source: RNAcentral
CUCAGGCUUCCAGGAAAAGCUUCUAGCACAACACGCAUCGGCCCGUACCGAAAAUGGACACACAUGGGCAAGGAGAGAAUCCUGAGGUGAGCGAGAGAACUAUAGCUAAGGAACUCUGCAAAAUGACCCCGUAACUUAGGGAGAAGGGGUGCUCCAGAAAUGGAGCCGCAGUAAAACGGCCCAAGCGACUGUUUACCAAAAACACAGCUCUCUGCGAAGGCGCAAGCCGAAGUAUAGGGGGUGACGCCUGCCCGGUGCUGGAAGGUCAAGGGGAGCUGUCAGCGCAAGCGAAGCAGCGAGCCGAAGCCCCAGUAAACGGCGGCCGUAACGAUAACGGUCCUAAGGUAGCGAAAUUCCUUGUCGGGCAAGUUCCGACCCGCACGAAAGGCGUAACGAUUUGGGCGCUGUCUCAGCUGUAGACUCGGUGAAGUCUUAGUACCUGUGAAGAUGCAGGUUGCCCGCGACUAGACGGAAAGACCCCAUGGAGCUUCACUGCAGGUUGACAUUGGGCUUGGAUGCAUGAUGUACAGGAUAGGUGGGAGGCUGUGAGCCGUGCGCGCCAGCGUACGGGGAGCCGCUGUUGGGAUACCACCCUUCAUGCAUCUAGGUCCUAACCGGAGGCAACGGGCCACGGGACAGUGUCAGUCGGGCAGUUUGACUGGGGCGGUCGCCUCCCAAAGAGUAACGGAGGCGCCCAAAGAUACCCUCAGCAUGGAUGGAAACCAUGCAUAGAGUGCAAUGGCAUAAGGGUGUCUGACUGCGAGACAUACAGGUCGAGCAGGGACGAAAGUCGGGCUUAGUGAUCCGGCGGAUCCGAAUGGAAGGGCCGUCGCUCAACGGAUAAAAGCUACCCUGGGGAUAACAGGCUGAUCUCCCCCAAGAGUUCACAUCGACGGGGAGGUUUGGCACCUCGAUGUCGGCUCAUCGCAUCCUGGAGCUGAAGUCGGUUCCAAGGGUUGGGCUGUUCGCCCAUUAAAGCGGUACGCGAGCUGGGUUCAGAACGUCGUGAGACAGUUCGGUCCCUAUCUGUCGUGGGCGCAGGAGGUUUGAGGAGAGCUGCCCCUAGUACGAGAGGACCGGGGUGGACGGACCGAUGGUGCACCAGUUGUCACGCCAGUGGCACAGCUGGGCAGCCAAGUCCGGACGGGAUAAGCGCUGAAGGCAUCUAAGCGUGAAGCCCCCUCCAAGAUGAGACCUCCCAUUGGCGACAAGUAAGGCCCCUCGAAGACGACGAGGUUGAUAGGCCGCGAGUGCAAGCGCAGCGAUGUGCUUAGCGGGGCGGUACUAAUAGGCCGAGGACUUGGCUAA